UUUGGCGCGAACGAGGAGCGGCGGCAGGUGGUGGUGGUGGUGGUCUUGUGGUGGGUUUGUUGGUGGUGGUGGUGGUGGUCUUGGAGUUUCAGUGAAACCUUCAUCCUGUUUCACUGGAUUUUGGGCUUUUCAGCUUCUGCUUUUUUCCUCUUGUAUACUUUUACUCUCUCUCUCUCUCUUCUUUCUCUCUCUACCGAAUGUUUU
RNAcentral lists this long non-coding RNA (204 nucleotides) under Erythranthe guttata (spotted monkey flower). RNAcentral's name for it is "long non-coding RNA (EGUT_LNC000253)". The record is from RNAcentral. Lineage: Eukaryota; Viridiplantae; Streptophyta; Magnoliopsida; Lamiales; Phrymaceae.